GAAAUGCGAUAAGUAAUGUGAAUUGCAGAAUUCAGUGAAUCAUCGAAUCUUUGAACGCACAUGGCGCCCGCCAGCACUCUGGCGGGCAUGCCUGUUCGAGCGUCAUUUCAACCCUCAGAACCCCUUGCGGGAUCUGGCGUUGGGGAUUGGCAUCCAGCCAGCCCCGAAAUCUAGUGGCGGUCCCUCCGCGACCUCCCCUGUGCAGUAGCGAUACCUCGCAGCGGGACAGCGGUCUGACCACGCCGUAAAACCCCCAACUUCUCAAGGUUGACCUCGAAUCAGGUAGGAAUACCCGCUGCACUUAAGC
RNAcentral lists this unclassified non-coding RNA (307 nucleotides) under plant metagenome. RNAcentral's name for it is "partial contains 5.8S ribosomal RNA, internal transcribed spacer 2, and large subunit ribosomal RNA". The stretch from base 1 to 105 matches the Rfam family "5.8S ribosomal RNA", at positions 50 to 154 of the family's 154-position model. The record is from RNAcentral.